Molecule: unclassified non-coding RNA, 269 nt
Filed under: Solenopsora olivacea subsp. olbiensis
Lineage: Eukaryota; Fungi; Ascomycota; Lecanoromycetes; Lecanorales; Catillariaceae
Description: partial contains 5.8S ribosomal RNA, internal transcribed spacer 2, and large subunit ribosomal RNA
Source: RNAcentral
CGCACAUUGCGCCCUUUGGUAUUCCAAGGGGCAUGCCUGUCCGAGCGUCAUAAAACAAAGUCAAAGUUGAAUAUUAUUAAUUCACUUUGGUAUUGGACCUGGUGACUGAGAUCGCCUGUCUGAAUAGCAGUGCCAGUGCCUGUAAAAUGCCUGAAGCGUAGUAGAUUUUUCUUCCUUCAGGUUUUGCAGUGUAUUGGGCUACUUUCUCCUUAAUUGGAAAAUUUCUCAAGUUUGACCUCGGAUCAGGUAGGAUUACCCGCUGAACUUAA